UGGGGAAUAUUGGACAAUGGGCGCAAGCCUGAUCCAGCCAUGCCGCGUGUGUGAAGAAGGCCUUCGGGUUGUAAAGCACUUUUGUUGGGGAAGAAAAGACACCGGUUAAUACCCGGGGUUUCUGACGGUACCCAAAGAAUAAGCACCGGCUAACUUCGUGCCAGCAGCCGCGGUAAUACGAAGGGUGCAAGCGUUACUCGGAAUUACUGGGCGUAAAGCGUGCGUAGGUGGUUCGUUAAGUCAGAUGUGAAAGCCCCGGGCUCAACCUGGGAAUUGCAUUUGAUACUGGCGGGCUAGAGUGCGGUAGAGGAGAGUGGAAUUCCCGGUGUAGCAGUGAAAUGCGUAGAGAUCGGGAGGAACAUCAGUUGCGAAGGCGGCUCUCUGGACCAGCACUGACACUGAGGCACGAAAGCGUGGGGAGCAAACAGGAUUAGAUACCCUGGUAGUCCACGCCCUAAACGAUGCGAACUGGACGUUGGGAGCAAUCAGGCUCUCAGUGUCGAAGCUAACGCGUUAAGUUCGCCGCCUGGGGAGUACGGUCGCAAGACUGA
This 551-nucleotide ribosomal RNA is filed under the name uncultured Arenimonas sp. Its description in RNAcentral is "bacterial SSU rRNA". It matches the Rfam family "Bacterial small subunit ribosomal RNA", at positions 355 to 897 of the family's 1533-position model. The record is from RNAcentral. Lineage: Bacteria; Pseudomonadati; Pseudomonadota; Gammaproteobacteria; Lysobacterales; Lysobacteraceae.